This 460-nucleotide ribosomal RNA is filed under the name uncultured bacterium. RNAcentral describes it as "partial 16S ribosomal RNA". It matches the Rfam family "Bacterial small subunit ribosomal RNA", at positions 338 to 795 of the family's 1533-position model. The record is from RNAcentral.
CCUACGGGUGGCAGCAGUGAGGAAUAUUGGUCAAUGGGCGAGAGCCUGAACCAGCCAAGUCGCGUGAAGGAUGAAGGAUCUAUGGUUUGUAAACUUCUUUUAUAUGGGAAUAAAGUGAGGAACGUGUUCCUUUUUGUAUGUACCAUAUGAAUAAGCAUCGGCUAACUCCGUGCCAGCAGCCGCGGUAAUACGGAGGAUGCGAGCGUUAUCCGGAUUUAUUGGGUUUAAAGGGAGCGUAGGUGGAUUGUUAAGUCAGUUGUGAAAGUUUGCGGCUCAACCGUAAAAUUGCAAUUGAUACUGGCAGUCUUGAGUACAGUUGAGGUAGGCGGAAUUCGUGGUGUAGCGGUGAAAUGCUUAGAUAUCACGCAGAACUCCGAUUGCGAAGGCAGCAUACCGGCGCUCAACUGACGCUGAGGCACGAAAGCGUGGGGAUCGAACAGGAUUAGAUACCCCAGUAGUC